RNAcentral lists this long non-coding RNA (2144 nucleotides) under Marmota marmota marmota (Alpine marmot). RNAcentral describes it as "lncRNA (ENSMMMG00000010759.1)". The record is from RNAcentral. Lineage: Eukaryota; Metazoa; Chordata; Mammalia; Rodentia; Sciuridae.
GCGCGCGCGAGAACGAGGGGAGGGAGCGUCAGAGACGCACGGCUCCCCACGAACCCAACGGUGGCACGGAGCCGCCCCGCGGCCCAGGCCGCCGCGCUCGCGCGGACGGGGACAGGGAUGCGAGCGGUUCGGGGCCAUGCCCUUCCCCACCCCCCCUGCCCCGCCCGGGGAACGGCGCGGCGGCACAAGCGGGGAACGACUCCUCGCGACCGGACCGGGUCGUGGCCGGACACACGCACCCGGAGCGGCACAACCCUCACGCGGCACCGAGCGGGUGCCCGGCGCCCCGCGGGGGCGGGGGUGGCGGACCCGUCGUCCCCCCCCAAGCACCGGCACACAACGACGCCGUCGCCAGCGGACAAGCGGCGGUGGCGGCCAGGAGGCGGGGGCCGCGGCGGGCCCCCCCGUGGGAGCGAACUCGCAAAGGGUCGAGAGAGCGGGCGGGCCAGGGUCAGAAGAGACCAGACGGGGACGGGCCCGGCAGCACGAGGAGGCGGCGGCUGCAGCCAGCGUGGGGAGCGGCGCGCCAGAAGGGCGGCAGGAAACGGGAGAGGGCACCUGCCCACCCGCGGAGGAGCCCCGCCCGGAGAGAGCUGGCCGAGCCGCGCGGGCGCACCGGCCGGACAAACCCAGGGCGGCACACGGUGUACCACCGCCAGCGCGCACACCAGGCGCACGGGCGGUCCCGCGUGGCCCCGGACGAGCCGCCGGCCGGGUUCCCUGCAUCAGCCAACCUCCCGGGAGGGCCCUCGCGGGGGACAGGGCCCCGCCGCCCCACCGCCGCCGCAAGAGGCGGGGAGCCCCCGAACCCUCAACCCGCACACCGCGACGAGCAUCCCCAGCGACAACCGCCCGUCCAGCGUGCCCACCGCCACACCCGGUACACGCCCGGGAGGGGGCGGCAGCGCGGCCGCAACCAGUCAGCCAGGGGGGAGGCUCGGCGGAGGCGAGGAGGGGGGCACAACCCCGCCGGGAUGGAGGGCGCGCCGGAGGCAGCGAGGGGCAAAGAAACGCGGAGAGGAAACCGGGGAGAAGACCUCGGGCACAAGAGUCGGGCCGCCAGGAAAACAAGCGGGGUCCCACCGCCACACGCGAGGGCGGUCCCGCACCGCCUGCGACGCCAACCCGGCCUCCGGUCCCAGCCCCGGAGCCUCCCAACGAGACCCGCCGCCCCGCCACCACAGGGUGGCCCUCCACGCGACGAGACGCGCCUGGACUCCAAACGCCAGCAUGCAACGCCACAACUCGUGCCGGUCGAGUCCCACGACCUGGGCCUCUACAGCUCCAGGGUCCGCUCGCUCAACCACACCGCCCGCGGAACGCUCCCGGGGGGGCCGCGGCGGCCGCGCCCCAGGCCAGCACACACGCACGCAGGCCGCCCGCCGGCUCGGGACCGGGAGCGGGCAGAGGACCACUCGCAGCGGGCGAGGGGGAAGGGGGGACGGGGCCCCUCAACCCCCGGCCGCGCGAACAGAGCCCCACCGCCACCGCGCGCACACACGCGGCACCAGCGGCCCACACGGUGGCCCCACGUGCGCCAGAGGGCCCGGCCAGGCCCAGCGGGAACCCUCCCCCGACUCGAAGGGGGGAGGCGUGGGCCGCGGUAGGCACAAAGAGCAGGCGCUCGGCCCCCACCCGCGGGGGGCCGGCGGACCCCUGCCCUCCCAGGCGGCGGGAAGGGGGGACUCUCGCCUACACACACCACCGACGGCAGCGUAGCGCACAAGGCAGGGGGCGGCCAAUGGGGGAAUCCGGUACCCCGCACGAGGCACGCCCUUCACAGAUCGCUAGAGAAACGUUCCUCACUGAGGGUGGGCCGCACCCAACCCAGCCCCUCUCCCCACCGGCCGCCGAGACAACGAGGGGGAUCUGCGGUAUGGGCAAGCACAAGGCUUCUUGAGCGUUCGCGGCCGGGGACACCCAAAGCCCCAUCGCCUCGGGGGCCGGACCGGCCCCAGCUCGGCGUCCCGCCACAAUCGCUCAAACGCCCGGGCAACAGCUCCUUUCCCCCACCGGAGGUGGGGAAGAGCGCCCAGGCGCCCGCUCGCCUAACACUCCCCACGCCACUCGGCACUGGGGACGACAACGCAACCCGCUCCCCCCGGAGAGGGAACGGGCAACGCUGCCGAGCUUACCGCCUCGAU